GUGGAUGAGGCAUGCAAGUCGAACGAAACUGAUGGGCAACCAGCAGUUUAGUGGCGAAAGGGUUAGUAAUACAUGAAUAACUUACCGUAUACCUGGGGAUAACGGCUGGAAACGGCCGCUAAUACCGAAUGAGGUCUUUGAGGGGCGACUUUUGGAGAUCAAAGUAGGGGAGCGCGAAAGCGCCCUAGCGGUAUAUGAGAGGUUCAUGGGAUAUCAGCUAGUUGGUGUGGUAAAGGCGCACCAAGGCUAAGACGUCUAGGCGGAUUGAGAGAUUG
Molecule: ribosomal RNA, 275 nt
Filed under: uncultured Chlamydiales bacterium
Lineage: Bacteria; Pseudomonadati; Chlamydiota; Chlamydiia; Chlamydiales
Description: partial 16S ribosomal RNA
Rfam family: Bacterial small subunit ribosomal RNA
Source: RNAcentral